CGGCGAGUGAAGCGGGAUGAGCUCAAAUUUAAAAUCUGGCGGCCUCAGGUCGUCCGAGUUGUAGUCUAGAGAAUCGUUUUCCGCGUUGGCCUGUGUACAAGUCCCUUGGAACAGGGCGUCAUAGAGGGUGAGAAUCCCGUCCUUGACACAGAUUACCAAUGCUUUGUGAUGCGAUCUCGAAGAGUCGAGUUGUUUGGGAAUGCAGCUCAAAAUGGGUGGUAAAUUCCAUCUAAAGCUAAAUAUUGGCGAGAGACCGAUAGCGAACAAGUACCGUGAGGGAAAGAUGAAAAGCACUUUGGAAAGAGAGUUAAACAGUACGUGAAAUUGUUAAAAGGGAAACGAUUGAAGUCAGUCAUGCUUUCCGAGACUCAGCCGAUUCUGUCGGUGUACUUCUCGGUUGGCAGGCCAGCAUCAGUUUCGAUCUGUGGAAAAGGUUGGAGGGAACGUGGCAUCUCCGGAUGUGUUAUAGCCCUUCUUCGAAUACAUAGAGCGGGACUGAGGAACGCAGCGCGCCUUUUAUUAGGUUGGCCCUCGGGUACAUACGCGCUUAGGAUGCUGGCAUAAUGGCUUUAAACGACCCGUCUUGAA
RNAcentral lists this ribosomal RNA (588 nucleotides) under Mrakia sp. Its description in RNAcentral is "partial large subunit ribosomal RNA". It matches the Rfam family "Eukaryotic large subunit ribosomal RNA", at positions 87 to 658 of the family's 3401-position model. Lineage: Eukaryota; Fungi; Basidiomycota; Tremellomycetes; Cystofilobasidiales; Mrakiaceae. The record is from RNAcentral.